RNAcentral lists this ribosomal RNA (468 nucleotides) under uncultured bacterium. RNAcentral's name for it is "partial 16S ribosomal RNA". It matches the Rfam family "Bacterial small subunit ribosomal RNA", at positions 28 to 507 of the family's 1533-position model. The record is from RNAcentral.
GACGAACGCUGGCGGCGUGCUUAACACAUGCAAGUCGAACGGAAAGGCCCUGCUUUUGUGGGGUGCUCGAGUGGCGAACGGGUGAGUAACACGUGAGUAACCUGCCCUUGACUUUGGGAUAACUUCAGGAAACUGGGGCUAAUACCGGAUAGGAGCUCCUGCUGCAUGGUGGGGGUUGGAAAGUUUCGGCGGUUGGGGAUGGACUCGCGGCUUAUCAGCUUGUUGGUGGGGUAGUGGCUUACCAAGGCUUUGACGGGUAGCCGGCCUGAGAGGGUGACCGGCCACAUUGGGACUGAGAUACGGCCCAGACGCCUACGGGAGGCAGCAGUGGGGAAUAUUGCACAAUGGGCGGAAGCCUGAUGCAGCAACGCCGCGUGCGGGAUGACGGCCUUCGGGUUGUAAACCGCUUUCGCCUGUGACGAGGCGUGAGUGACGGUAAUGGGUAAAGAAGCACCGGCUAACUACGUG